Molecule: non-coding RNA, 73 nt
Filed under: Stenotrophomonas maltophilia
Lineage: Bacteria; Pseudomonadati; Pseudomonadota; Gammaproteobacteria; Lysobacterales; Lysobacteraceae
Source: RNAcentral
AGCAAAAAGGGGACGGAGGGGAUUAAGUCGUUUGUGCCACAAACGACUUAAUCCCCUCCGUCCCCUUUUCAGG